This 98-nucleotide transfer RNA is filed under the name Candidatus Bathyarchaeota archaeon. RNAcentral describes it as "tRNA-OTHER". It matches the Rfam family "tRNA". Rfam says of the family: Transfer RNA (tRNA) molecules are approximately 80 nucleotides in length. Their secondary structure includes four short double-helical elements and three loops (D, anti-codon, and T loops). Further hydrogen bonds mediate the characteristic L-shaped molecular structure. tRNAs have two regions of fundamental functional importance: the anti-codon, which is responsible for specific mRNA codon recognition, and the 3' end, to which the tRNAs corresponding amino acid is attached (by aminoacyl-tRNA synthetases). tRNAs cope with the degeneracy of the genetic code in two manners: having more than one tRNA (with a specific anti-codon) for a particular amino acid; and 'wobble' base-pairing, i.e. permitting non-standard base-pairing at the 3rd anti-codon position. The record is from RNAcentral. Lineage: Archaea; Thermoproteati; Candidatus Bathyarchaeota.
GCGGCCGUCGUCUAGUCUGGUUUAGGACACAGAUGCAUGAGUGCGGUGUAAGCCUUCCAAGCCUGUGAUCCCGGGUUCGAAUCCCGGCGGCCGCACCA